RNAcentral lists this ribosomal RNA (118 nucleotides) under uncultured bacterium. RNAcentral describes it as "partial 16S ribosomal RNA". It matches the Rfam family "Bacterial small subunit ribosomal RNA", at positions 1353 to 1482 of the family's 1533-position model. The record is from RNAcentral.
CACACCGCGUUGAAUACGUUCCCGGGUCUUGUACACACCGCCCGUCACGUCACGGAAGUCGUCAACACCCGAAGUGCCUAUUUAACUAGGCCCUAAGGUGGGGGUGGUAACUGGGGUG